Molecule: long non-coding RNA, 381 nt
Organism: Syngnathus acus (greater pipefish)
Lineage: Eukaryota; Metazoa; Chordata; Actinopteri; Syngnathiformes; Syngnathidae
Exons: 3
Source: RefSeq, a predicted model, not a curated record
CACGAUGAGGACCACGUCGCAUAGGAGACCGUUGCGACGCUGCUCGUUGAGGCUGCACAGGACAUCGCUGCUGUGAUUGGGGAAUGGGAUUCCGAUGCGGUCUUCCUCUCUGUGAUGGACCAUCCUCCGCUCUCUGGGCUACAAGUGAUGGCAGGGGAGGACAAGUGUGAUGACGACCAUAGGAGAGGAAGUGGAGCUUGUUGUCAAAUAGAAAUGACCCAACUAUUAUGACAUUCAAUGAGAGAUGUUGGUGGGGAUGCUAACGUGCUAACCGACACCGGCGGAGGCCAGGUGGGCGGAUCAAGGCGCGCGGCGAUGGGGUGGCAUGAGCGGGCCGAGCGAGGCCAUCCCACACAUAUGCUCAAUCUCGCUCCUCUCAGG